Molecule: non-coding RNA, 30 nt
Filed under: Mus musculus (house mouse)
Lineage: Eukaryota; Metazoa; Chordata; Mammalia; Rodentia; Muridae
Source: RNAcentral
UGACCCAGUAUCUCCAUCUCGUGCCAAGGC